This 274-nucleotide ribosomal RNA is filed under the name uncultured Methanosaeta sp. Its description in RNAcentral is "partial 16S ribosomal RNA". It matches the Rfam family "Archaeal small subunit ribosomal RNA", at positions 1064 to 1338 of the family's 1478-position model. Lineage: Archaea; Methanobacteriati; Methanobacteriota; Methanomicrobia; Methanotrichales; Methanotrichaceae. The record is from RNAcentral.
UUGCCAGCGUACUCUCUGGAGUGACGGGCACACUGUGGGACCGCCGCUGCUAAAGCGGAGGAAGGAAUGGGCAACGGUAGGUCAGUAUGCCCCGAAUAUCCCGGGCUACACGCGAGCUACAAUGGUUGGUACAAUGGGUAUCUACCCCGAAAGGGGACGGGAAUCUCCUAAAACCAAUCUUAGUUCGGAUUGAGGGCUGCAACUCGCCCUCAUGAAGCUGGAAUCCGUAGUAAUCGCGUUUCAACAGAACGCGGUGAAUACGUCCCUGCUCCUU